This 478-nucleotide ribosomal RNA is filed under the name uncultured bacterium. RNAcentral describes it as "partial 16S ribosomal RNA". It matches the Rfam family "Bacterial small subunit ribosomal RNA", at positions 28 to 507 of the family's 1533-position model. The record is from RNAcentral.
GAUGAACGCUGGCGGCGUGCUUAACACAUGCAAGUCGAACGGGAAAUAUUUCAUUGAGACUUCGGCGGAUUUGAUUCAUUUCUAGUGGCGGCCGGGUGAGUAACGCCUGGGUAACCUGCCUCAUUCAGGGGGAUAAUAGUCAGAAAUGGCUGCUAAUACCGCUUAACCGCACCGAGCUGCAUGGCUCAGUGUGAAAAACUCCGGUGGUAUAAGAUGGACCCGCGUUGGAUUAGCUAGUUGGCGGGGUAACGGCCCACCAACGCGACGAUCCAUAGCCGGCCUGGGAGGAUGAACGGCCACAUUGGGACUGAGGCACGGCCCAGACUCCUACGGGAGGCAGCAGUGGGGAAUAUUGCACAAUGGGGGAAACCCUGAUGCAGCGACGCCGCGUAAAGGAAGAAGUAUCUCGGUAUGUAAACUUCUAUCAGCAGGGAAGAUAGUGACGGUACCUGAGUAAGAAGCCCCGGCUAACUACGUG